This 73-nucleotide transfer RNA is filed under the name Ignavibacteria bacterium. RNAcentral's name for it is "tRNA-Phe". It matches the Rfam family "tRNA". From Rfam's summary of the family: Transfer RNA (tRNA) molecules are approximately 80 nucleotides in length. Their secondary structure includes four short double-helical elements and three loops (D, anti-codon, and T loops). Lineage: Bacteria; Pseudomonadati; Ignavibacteriota; Ignavibacteria. The record is from RNAcentral.
GGGAAGUUAGCUCAGUUGGUAGAGCGUAUGCCUGAAGAGCAUAGCGUCAAUGGUUCGAUUCCAUUACUUCCCA